UUAGAGUUUGAUCAUGGCUCAGAUUGAACGCUGGCGGCAUGCUUUACACAUGCAAGUCGAGCGGCAGCGCGGGACUCGGGCAACCGAGCCCUGGCGGCGAGCGGCGAACGGGUGAGUAAUGCAUCGGAACGUGUCCCGUAAUGGGGGAUAACGCCGCGAAAGCGGCGCUAAUACCGCAUACGCUCUGAGGAGGAAAGUGGGGGACUUCGCAAGGAGCCUCACGUUAGGGGAGCGGCCGAUGUCCGAUUAGCUAGUUGGUGGGGUAAUGGCUUACCAAGGCUUCGAUCGGUAGCUGGUCUGAGAGGAUGAUCAGCCACACUGGGACUGAGACACGGCCCAGACUCCUACGGGAGGCAGCAGUGGGGAAUUUUGGACAAUGGGGGCAACCCUGAUCCAGCCAUGCCGCGUGCGGGAAGAAGGCCUUCGGGUUGUAAACCGCUUUUAGCCGGGAAGAAAAGGCCAUCCCUAACAGGGGUGGUUUUUGACGGUACCGGCGGAAUAAGCACCGGCUAACUACGUGCCAGCAGCCGCGGUACCCA
This 539-nucleotide ribosomal RNA is filed under the name uncultured bacterium. RNAcentral describes it as "bacterial SSU rRNA". It matches the Rfam family "Bacterial small subunit ribosomal RNA", at positions 1 to 525 of the family's 1533-position model. The record is from RNAcentral.